CCCCCAUCUUCUGUCACCUGGAUUACUUCGGUUCUCCCACCUUAAGAUAGGCUGAUUAUUGCAGGCAACCAUUCAGCAAAAGCCCACCCGCAAGGAUCUGUUCUGGCACUGGGACAAUUCAAGAUUUGUUUUCCAGGUGUUUUCACAUCCUCAGAGAGGUGAUGGUUAAAAGCCAAGCACAAGCUGAUACCUGCCGCCGAAAAAAAAAAACCAGCGGACACAUUCCUGAAUCCAGUCUUCUUUCAUCCUUCGAAGAUGAGGAAACUGAGGCUCAGAGGUAUGAAGGCAAAGCACGUGAAGAUAGGAAGAUCGGAAGCCCCAACUCUCUGCCUCGGUGGAGAUGUUAUUCUAUAUUGGCUGCCAUGAUUGCUUGUGGAAGUGUUUCAGUCUCACCCUCUCUGGUUCUCCUUGGAGACGAGAGGGCGCCGGCCCUCUGGCGGUGCCCACCCCUCCCGACCGCCCCACGCGCACCACCGAGCAAUGGCGAGGCCGCAGACAAGGGCGCCUUUCUUCAAAGUGGUUCGCCUCCAUCUCAUAAAUUCUCAGCCCCCGCCUGAUUGGCUGCGAGAAAAGGAGACGAGAAAACUGAGGCGCAAAAAGGGGCAUUCACCUGCCCGCAGUCACGAAGUUAAAGACAGGCAGAGUGGAGGCACGAACCGAGGGCUGUCACAGCCUCUUACCCACCUCUGAGAACCUGCCUUCUGCAAAAGCCGUGGGCACCAGCAGAAGCCAGAAAAGAGAAUGGAUCCACAUUCAAAAAGGAGCUCCCAGGGAAAGGCUGGAGAAGCAGCGAAACAAGAAGUUGGUGGUCCUAUGUCAGUCUGCACCGUUCUGUCUGGAGAUUAUACCCAUGUAUGAAAUCCAAAAAUCGGGGAAGCAUUGGACUUGCUGACCUUGAGACUUCCCGUGUUGUGAUUUAACAUGUAUCCCAGUUGGUAAUGUUCAGUGCAGGUAAGGUUGCAGUGAAACAGGUCACCUCCUGAAACAGACUACCUCCUCCCCUCUUGGGAGAAGAAUAAAUCGACAUCAUCUUUUGCGAUAUCUAUGAAUGUGGCGAUUUUUCAUAGACCCAGCAAUCGUACUUGCAGAAAUUUGUUUGAAUGAAAAACUCACACAGGUUUGCAAAGCCCAUCGACUUAGACUUGUCUUGAAGUGAAAAACUGGAGCGCCCCAAGGACCCACAGUGAGGGACUAGUGGAGGAAAGGGAGGCCCAGCUGGACCACAGACUACACGACACUGUGGCUUGCAGGUUAAUAACACGGACCUACAUUUCCUUACAUGAAGGGAGGUCCGUGGGGCUCAUUCAUCCUAUACACAUUUCUUGAGCACCUACUACAUGCCAGCUACUGUUCUGGGCAGAGGUUGCAACAGUGAACAAAGAAGACAGUAUCCUUACCCUCGUGGAGCUUACAUUCUGAUGGAAAAAAUUUUCACAAGCAAGUAAAUACAUAGUAUCAAGUAAUAACAUGUUUGUGGGGUUAAAAAUAAAAGCAGGGUGCAUGGACAAUGUCGCCAUUCUGGGAAACAGUUCGGAAGUUUCUUAUCAAGUUAGAUACAUAUUUACCUUAUGGCUCAGCAGUCCCACUCCUGGUUA
Long non-coding RNA from Hipposideros armiger (great roundleaf bat), 1595 nucleotides. RefSeq lists it as uncharacterized. Lineage: Eukaryota; Metazoa; Chordata; Mammalia; Chiroptera; Hipposideridae. The record is from RefSeq and is a predicted model, not a curated record. The transcript is spliced from 7 exons.